GGGAGUUGGGCUAGAAAGAACCGAGACGCGGCGAUAGAGCAACUUGCUGUUUGGGGAAUCGCUAGGAAACUGGGAAGUGAAACUGGGGCGGUAUCUUCGUUUUUACGGAUUAAGUUACAAUGUAGCGCGUCCUAAUAGAUACAAGUGUGGAAGCUGAAUAGUUGUACGUGUAUUUUAAACUAGAGCUAUAAUAGAUGCGUUUCGUCCAUUACUAGAACUGUCAGAUUUGAUUGAGAGAGUUAAGGUGUGGCUGUCUUCAAAACGUUUUUUUUCUUCUUCAAGGCUUUCCUCUGAACUAAAUGCUUAUUAUAAUAAAGCUUGACAUAUUUACAGUGAGAAGUAGCCUAGCUGAUCGAUUUUCAACAAUAAUGGCGCAUUUGAAAAAGGAAGCAUUCGAUUAUACGACCAACAGUGCCACCUCGACAAGGAUAAUGUGCAUUAUUCUAAACAUUACCGAUGGAGUCUAUUCUGCUAUUAUUUGGAUGAUUGUAACAAGUAUUUAAUAAUCGUGUAGGUUAAUUCGCUGUAUAAUGUUUUGAAAUGGACGAAGCAACUUUACAGUCGUAUCGCAUUCUACAUAUGAAAGGCUAAUCAACGGACCUGUGGGGGAGUAGGCCUAGUUGGUGAUUAUAGAGCUAUUCUCGCACGAUAAUCGAUUAAAAAAUAUAUAUUUUGAUUUUUUUUCCCUUUAUGAUCAAUGGCGAUACUUAUAACUAGUCUACUGCCAUUUUGAGUCCCACCGAGGAAAUAAGUUAAUCUUACCUACAGAAACAAGUAAGUGCGUCAAUAUUAAUUUAAACACGUUUAAAUGUCUUUAUGAGUGUGGAAUAACCUUAACUGAAUAUAAUAAAGUAAUCUAGAUAGGUUGCAAUUAAGAGACAAAAUAGAGCGUCAAAUGAACCUGGAUGAUUGUAUGCCUACUGAGAAUAUUGCCUUAACUGUUACAAAUGAAGCAAAUUGAAUGUUACAAAUUAUGUAAUCAAAUAGUUGACUUGCAGUUCCAUUUGGACUAUAUGUUGUCCGCUGGUCUGUAGGCGGUGCAAUAAUUACCAUAAUACUUAAUUCAAUACAGCAGUGAAUUGAAUAUUAGAUUUAUGAGUUAUUUCAAAGGCCAUCUCAUAUAGGCUAAACGUUAAAUGGAUUGGAUUAUGGACACUUCUAUUGCGUGCAUUCGUGCCCUAUAUAGUCUACGGGCGUGCCCAUCAAUUAGCCUACUUGUGAAGAAGAAUGGGGCCAAAGGGGCCAGAAUAAGAUUCGGUCAUAUUUUUCAAAAAUUAAAAAAUAUGUAAAAUAUCAAGAUCAUUCCUGUACUGUAAAAACGUGUUAAAAUACCUAUUCAUAGAUCUGAUGUUACUCUUCUUAACUUUUAGCAUUUAGUAGUAGGGUAGACUAAAUACAUAAUGAAUUUAACCUUACUCAUAUCUUUUCAUUAUUUAGUUACAGUAACUCACUGUAAUUUGCUUUAAUUUGAUUUAAAGGAGAGAAUUGCAGAGCGAAUUCCUCAAGGCCCCACCCUUUACAGCAAAACAUGGAUGUGGAUCACAAUUUCCCCCAGAAGUUUCUUGUUUCCCUUUUUCCUCUCUCUAACCUUACGUUGCCAAGUGUGUAACCAUAGGCCCUGCUUUAAGUGGAGAGAACCUGUAACCUUCCAUAUAAACUGGCUGGCAACCCCCUAAAGAUCAAGCCGCAGGAUCUUCAUUCAAACUCCAAUGAGUCUCCCUUCCUUUGAUCAAGAUUCCACCUCUGCCCACCCUGAUGGACAAAAAUGAAGAAGAUGUAGCCUUGUGUGUGUGUGUGUGUGUGUGUGUGUGUGUGUGUGUGUGUGUGUGUGUGUGUGUGUGUGUGUGUGUGUGUUUUUUUUUAUAUGUGUAUGUUUUUGUACAUGCUGCGUGGGUGCUCACUGGCUGACCCACAGCAGUUCUUCACUGGCAAGCUUUAUGUCCUUAUGUACCAACUAAAGCUGCCAGCUGAAGAACUGUUGUGGUUGGCUCUUUCCUGCAUCCCACACAGAAGACCAAGAGACGCCUUCGAGAAGUGUGUGUGUGUGUCCAGAUGCCAUGCAUCGGAUCAGUGAAUUCUCCUUCCAGAUGUUCCAUUUUGCAGCCAAUGGUAGCAGUGUACAGUAUGUUUAGAGGUAAAUACAGCACAUGUGAAGAUUAGGCUACACAGAAUAGCUAGCUAUCCAAGACAUCUGAUAUGAUGCAAUAGGUCUCAGUUAAAAACACAUGAACCCACUGCACUCAAAUGUAAUGUUUUCAUUAAGUCUUCUGCUCAUGUUACAGAGCUAAUGAAGGCUCUAAGUAUGAAAAAUGCUUACAAACUAUGAAAUAUGUUUAAGUAUGAAGUUUGCUUACUAAAUAUCAAGUAUGGUCCCAAAGUAUGAAGUACGCUUACUUGAAGUAUACUUACUGAUGACAGAUUUUACUAUAUGUGUGCUGUAUUUUUCUCUAUUUACACUAUAUUUUAUUUAGUUUUAUGUAUGUAUACUCAACAGAGUUUUAUGUAUGCUUUCAUGUACAAUGUGAGCUCUUUUAAACCAUACUAUCAGCAUCAACUGCCCCCACAAAUGGCUGCUUUAUUCUACUCAGGCAUUAACAAAGACGACUGCACAUUGAUGCUACUGUACAUGCUGAGUCAGCCAACAUUCCACACCCCAGCCAGGACCCGCCUGCUGCCCAAAUAUGGAUUGAAGCUGCAUGGUGGGGCAUCAUGGGUGCUUCAUUGUAUAUCAGAACAAAACAUCUCUAGAAUAAUUUCUUAUGCUACUCAAAAACAACAAAAAGUAGAAGGAUAGGAAGGUAGAUGGACUGGCUACUCAAAACCUACAAGUAUGUAAAGCAUAGGAUGAUUUAAUGAUACAGUAUGAUAGAUUGGGGAAAGGAUAGGAGGAUAGAUGGAGGGACGAUUAGGAGGAUAGAUGGAGGGACGAUUAGGAGGAUAGAUGGAGGGAAUGUUAGGAGGAUAGAUGGAGGGAAUGUUAGGAGGAUAGAUGGAGGGAAUGUUAGGAGGAUAGAUGGAGGGAAUGUUAGGAGGAUAGAUGGAGGGAAUGUUAGGAGGAUAGAUGGAGGGAAUGUUAGGAGGAUAGAUGGAGGGAAUGUUAGGAGGAUAGAUGGAGGGAAUGUUAGGAGGAUAGAUGGAGGGAAUGUUAGGAGGAUAGAUGGAGGGAAUGUUAGGAGGAUAGAUGGAGGGACGAUUAGGAGGAUAGAUGGAGGGAAUGUUAGGAGGAUAGAUGGAGGGAAUGUUAGGAGGAUAGAUGGAGGGAAUGUUAGGAGGAUAGAUGGAGGGACGAUUAGGAGGAUAGAUGGAGGGAAUGUUAGGAGGAUAGAUGGAGGGAAUGUUAGGAGGAUAGAUGGAGGGAAUGUUAGGAGGAUAGAUGGAGGGAAUGUUAGGAGGAUAGAUGGAGGGAAUGUUAGGAGGAUAGAUGGAGGGAAUGUUAGGAGGAUAGAUGGAGGGAAUGUUAGGAGGGAAUGUUAGGAGGAUAGAUGGAGGGACGAUUAGGAGGAUAGAUGGAGGGAAUGUUAGGAGGAUAGAUGGAGGGAAUGUUAGGAGGAUAGAUGGAGGGAAUGUUAGGAGGAUAGAUGGAGGGAAUGUUAGGAGGAUAGAUGGAGGGAAUGUUAGGAGGAUAGAUGGAGGGAAUGUUAGGAGGAUAGAUGGAGGGAAUGUUAGGAGGAUAGAUGGAGGGAAUGUUAGGAGGAUAGAUGGAGGGAAUGUUAGGAGGAUAGAUGGAGGGAAUGUUAGGAGGAUAGAUGGAGGGAAUGUUAGGAGGAUAGAUGGAGGGAAUGUUAGGAGGAUAGAUGGAGGGAAUGUUAGGAGGAUAGAUGGAGGGAAUGUUAGGAGGAUAGAUGGAGGGACGAUUAGGAGGAUAGAUGGAGGGAAUGUUAGGAGGAUAGAUGGAGGGAAUGUUAGGAGGAUAGAUGGAGGGAAUGUUAGGAGGAUAGAUGGAGGGAAUGUUAGGAGGAUAGAUGGAGGGAAUGUUAGGAGGAUAGAUGGAGGGAAUGUUAGGAGGAUAGAUGGAGGGAAUGUUAGGAGGAUAGAUGGAGGGAAUGUUAGGAGGAUAGAUGGAGGGAAUGUUAGGAGGAUAGAUGGAGGGAAUGUUAGGAGGAUAGAUGGAGGGAAUGUUAGGAGGAUAGAUGGAGGGAAUGUUAGGAGGAUAGAUGGAGGGAAUGUUAGGAGGAUAGAUGGAGGGAAUGUUAGGAGGAUAGAUGGAGGGAAUGUUAGGAGGAUAGAUGGAGGGAAUGUUAGGAGGAUAGAUGGAUGGAUGAAAGGGAAAGAAGGAGGGAGGGAGAACAAGGCAAGGACAUACGACAAACAGCUGGACAAAACCAGCCUCCUGACAUGCUGGUAAAGGCAAUUUGUGGCAUUGUUCUAGACUUAGCUGUACUGUUUGUCUCAAACCAUGACUGCUCAGGCCCUCUCCAUUCCCUUUCUCUCUCCCUCUCUGUUCUCUUUCUCUCUCUACUCAUUUUCUAUGUGUGUGUCUCUCUCUAACUCUUUCUAUUUGACUCAUUCUCUCUCUUUCUCCCUCUCUCUGUCACACACCCCCACAUGCGCGCACACACACAGCAUACCAUACAUCUGACUUCAAGGGUGGUGUUGGCGUCGGCAAGAACAGGAUAUGAGAGCGUGUCCCUCUAAAAACCUUCCCCUCCAGAUGAGAACAAAGGUAGAGAAUGUUCCAGAUUCCCUGGCCGCUGCAGUCUAGGAACAUGUGGAGUCAAGAGUUGGCCAACGAGCAGUCCUUAUCUUUUCCCCCUUCUUUCCAUGCAUUUUCUCUCUGUUGUCUAGCUUGUCCAUCUCUGUUUUUGGCCUCUUGGUAAGCUAGCUUUUUGUUUCAUACUAUUAUCUCUUUGUUAGUGCAUCUGCUUCAAUCUCCUUAUCUUGUUGUCUUGUCACUCUUCUCAUUAUUUCUCCCCUCUUCUGUCUAGCAUCCCUCUUAAAACACACAAAGACACAAACAUAGAGGUAAAUAGAGAUAAAUACACACACACAAACACACAGAGACAGAGAGCCAUACACACACACACAUCCCUCAGACAGGAUUAUCCCACUCUCACAAGUUGAUCCUCUCCGGUAAGCACUGCCAGUCCCCUGUGAGCAUGUAACAGAAGCACUGCAGUCAGGGCAAGGCUGUGACCUAGAGAGUAGUGUGUUUGUGUGUGUGCGUCUCUGUUUGUGUAUUCCUCUGUGUGUUUGUAUAUGUGUCUCCCGCUGUGUGUUUGUGUGUGUGUGUGUCUCCCGCUGUGUUUGUGUGUGUCAGAUCACAGGCCAAGGUCUCCUACCUGAUCCACUCUGAGGGAAUCGGCUUGCGAGUACAUUAAGAGAUUGCGGUGGGGCGCCGAGCUGAGGCUCACUGGCUCGACUUAAAGACAUACACACAUAAUCCUGGCUGCUCUGCUCCACCUAACAAGGAUACACGUGGCAGGUGUGUCUUUCAGGGACUGUGUGUGUGUGUCGUCUCUGAACUUUACCCUACCUAUGCCCUCUCAGGCGUGCCCCUGUCUUUGGGCACCCUUACCCGCCCUAAUGUCACUUCAUCUGCCAACUGGAUAAAGAUAGAGAGGGGUGCACAGAGACGACAGAGAGAGGGGUGCACAGAGACGAGAGAGAGAGAGAGGGGUGCACAGCGACGAGAGAGAGAGAGAGGGGUGCACAGCGAUGAGAGAGAGAGAGAGGGGGUGCACAGCGACGAGAGAGAGAGAGAGAGGGGUGCAUAGAGACGAGAGAGAGAGAGAGAGAGAGGGGUGCACAGAGACAAGAGAGAGAGAGGGGUGCAUAGAGACGAGAGAGAGAGAGAGAGGGGUGCACAGAGACGAGAGAGAGAGAGGGGUGCACAGAGACGAGAGAGAGAGGGGGGUGCACAGAGACGAGAGAAAGAGAGAGAGAGGGGUGCACAGAGACGAGAGAAAGAGAGAGAGAGGGGUGCACAGAGACGAGAGAGAGAGAGGGAGAGAGGUGCACAGAGACGAGAGAGAGAGAGGGGUGCACAGAGGUUAUCCCACACCAUAAUGCCAUCCUGCCCAGCCUGAUCACACAAAGCACAGUCAAAGCACACCAACACCUAACCAUGCACUUUAACUAUGGAGGCUUGAGAUCUGCAAGUGUAUGGUAUGUGUUUUGGUAUGCUAUAAAAUGCUAUGUAUAUUAAGGUAUGCUCCGUAAUUCCGCUGUAUGUUACGUGGACUGUGUUCAUUUUAAUGUGAUAAUAAAUUGAAUUGCACUGAGACAAAACA
RNA transcript from Oncorhynchus keta (chum salmon), 6230 nucleotides. RefSeq lists it as uncharacterized. The record is from RefSeq and is a predicted model, not a curated record. The transcript is spliced from 4 exons. NCBI's taxonomy places the organism in Eukaryota, Metazoa, Chordata, Actinopteri, Salmoniformes, Salmonidae.